GCCGACGUAGCUCAACGGUAGAGCAUCUGAUUUGUAAUCAGACGGUUGGGGGUUCGAUUCCCUCCGUCGGCU
Molecule: transfer RNA, 72 nt
Filed under: Deltaproteobacteria bacterium CSP1-8
Lineage: Bacteria; Deltaproteobacteria
Description: tRNA-Thr
Rfam family: tRNA
About the family: Transfer RNA (tRNA) molecules are approximately 80 nucleotides in length.
Source: RNAcentral